GGCAGCCCACUAGAACUUGCCUAGUUUGGUGGAGACCCCAUCAACAAAUAAAAUUUCCUCACCAAAUAAUUAAAUUUCCAACUAUAUAUAUGGAAUGAAAGUCCAUGUACAAAAACCAAAAUCUUCCAACUUCAACAAUUAACCGAUUGAUCGCUCAACAGGUUGCGAAACCUAGCUCUUAACGAUCAAGAAAUCUAGGGUGAGUCGGAAAUUUAGUUGUAAAGCUUAACUUCAUAUAUAUAUAUAGGUACGUAGAUAUGCAUAAUGUUGAAAUUAACUGUUGAUUUGAAUGGCAGGAUAUAUAGAAAAGAUGGGUGGUAUGAGGUUGGGUGUGUUGGUGAUGGUGGUGGUAUUGGUGAUGAGCAGUUGCACGGCGGAGGGAAGGAGAGUGGCGGCGGGAGAAAAGGCGGCGGCGGAUGAGCAGAAGGUAGUAGAUGAUGAUGGAGUUGCAAGUACCUUAGAUAACCACCACGCUUGCUCCAUGGCCGACUUCAGCAAGGGUACCUGUGAUCCUGCCUGAUCACAAAAUGAUGAGAGAGAGAGAUAGUCAGUGUGUAUACAAUUAAGUUGCUUUUUUUUAAAAAUAAUACUAAUAAUUAAAUAAAAGAAAUAAGCUGAGUUUGUUUCUAAUGAGCUACGGCCUAUGGCAGAUAUGUGUGUAUGUACAAAAUACUAUGAUAUGCUCAUAUGGUGGCAACAUAUAUAAGGGACUAUUGUUGUUUAUUUGUUUCUUACUGUUAUUACGCAUGUGUUAAGAAUUAAUUAAGAGGAUAUUUGGUUUGAUAAAUAAUUUUAUUUUAAUAACUUUUUCUGUCUCGG
Molecule: long non-coding RNA, 819 nt
Filed under: Salvia miltiorrhiza (redroot sage)
Lineage: Eukaryota; Viridiplantae; Streptophyta; Magnoliopsida; Lamiales; Lamiaceae
Description: long non-coding RNA (SMIL_LNC004660)
Source: RNAcentral